Molecule: long non-coding RNA, 250 nt
Filed under: Solanum tuberosum (potato)
Lineage: Eukaryota; Viridiplantae; Streptophyta; Magnoliopsida; Solanales; Solanaceae
Description: long non-coding RNA (STUB_LNC007968)
Source: RNAcentral
UCUAAACAAGAAGCUAGAGAAAAUCCGUGGUACAAACGCCAUAAAAUUCUCUAUAAAGCUACAAGUUUAAGAAUUCAAGCAUUUAAGUUCAAGAACGAUCAAGAUCAAGACUAUCAGGUUCAAGAACAAGCUCGAAUCCCUUGAAUUCAAGAAAAAGUCAAGAUCAAGAUAAAGUUCAAAGUUCAAAUUCAUCAAAGAUUCAAGAUCAAGCUUUAAAGCCCUUGAAUCAUAGUUGAAAAGGCGAAUUCAG